UACGGAAGGUUCAGGCGUUAUCCGGAUUUAUUGGGUUUAAAGGGAGCGCAGGCGGCGGCGUAAGUCAGUUGUGAAAUCGUGCGGCUUAACCGUACAAUUGCAGUUGAUACUGCGUCGCUUGAGUGCACACAGGGAUGUUGGAAUUCAUGGUGUAGCGGUGAAAUGCUUAGAUAUCAUGAAGAACUCCGAUCGCGAAGGCAUAUGUCCGGAGUGCAACUGACGCUGAGGCUCGAAAGUGUGGGUAUCAAACAGG
RNAcentral lists this ribosomal RNA (253 nucleotides) under Alloprevotella rava. RNAcentral's name for it is "partial 16S ribosomal RNA". It matches the Rfam family "Bacterial small subunit ribosomal RNA", at positions 524 to 776 of the family's 1533-position model. The record is from RNAcentral. Lineage: Bacteria; Pseudomonadati; Bacteroidota; Bacteroidia; Bacteroidales; Prevotellaceae.